RNAcentral lists this ribosomal RNA (467 nucleotides) under uncultured bacterium. RNAcentral's name for it is "partial 16S ribosomal RNA". It matches the Rfam family "Bacterial small subunit ribosomal RNA", at positions 29 to 507 of the family's 1533-position model. The record is from RNAcentral.
ACGCACGCUGGCGGCGUGCUUAACACAUGCAAGUCGAACGGAAAGGCCCUGCUUUUGUGGGGUGCUCGAGUGGCGAACGGGUGAGUAACACGUGAGUAACCUGCCCUUGACUUUGGGAUAACUUCAGGAAACUGGGGCUAAUACCGGAUAGGAGCUCCUGCUGCAUGGUGGGGGUUGGAAAGUUUCGGCGGUUGGGGAUGGACUCGCGGCUUAUCAGCUUGUUGGUGGGGUAGUGGCUUACCAAGGCUUUGACGGGUAGCCGGCCUGAGAGGGUGACCGGCCACAUUGGAACUGAGAUACGGCCCAGACUCCUACGGGAGGCAGCAGUGGGGAAUAUUGCACAAUGGGCGGAAGCCUGAUGCAGCAACGCCGCGUGCGGGAUGACGGCCUUCGGGUUGUAAACCGCUUUCGCCUGUGACGAAGCGUGAGUGACGGUAAUGGGUAAAGAAGCACCGGCUAACUACGUG